Molecule: long non-coding RNA, 1655 nt
Filed under: Homo sapiens (human)
Lineage: Eukaryota; Metazoa; Chordata; Mammalia; Primates; Hominidae
Description: HSALNT0368855
Source: RNAcentral
AAUUGAGUAUAAAAGGAACUAAUGAGAUAGAAACUCAGAAGGACAAAGACAACAGGUGAUGAGAGAGAGAAUUGUGACUGCAAAGAGUGAACAUAUUUUUGGAAGAUAAAAAGUGGAAGGAGGAGUGAGCAAAAGUAAGAAUGCUGUAUACCAAGUGUGAGCAAACUGGAUGCCAAUGUCAAAGGAGCCAAGUCACAGCAUCUAACCCCCCUAGUCCAGGCAAGUGUUCCUCCUCACCCUGCCAGGAUGCCAGAAUCUUACUAUUCUGUGGAGAAGUUGAACUGGAGUGGCUCCACAACCAGGAUGCCGGCCCCAGAAGAAGUGGAGGUGCAAAAGAAAAGGGUCUGAGCACAAGUGUAGAUAUUGAAACAUAAGAUUUCUUCUCCUUCCGGGUGCGCCAACCUUAUGGGUUUGGGUUAUAAUCCUGUGGUAGUAUCAUCUGACUUUUUAAAACUGUAUUUUUUAUUCCUUUUAUAAAAAUUUUACUCACACAUACACAUGCACACACACACGCACACAUACAUGUAUUUUUUUUAAGAGAAGAGGAAAAGCGUUUCUUGCGGAGGAAACAGCCUGUGUGAAGAUCCUAACCAGUGCAUUCAGGGGAGUGGCAAAGAAGACCUGGCAGUGCAAGAGCAGCAGUAGGAGGAGGACAUGGGGAGGAUGAGGUUGGAGAGAGCGGGGUAAGAGGAGGACAUGGGAAGAUGAGGUUGGAGAGCGUGGGGCCAGAUGCUGCGGGACCUUGAGGGCCAUCUGAAAAGUCUGGGUUUUCUUUGAAAUGUAGCCAUGAAAGGUUUUUAAGCCAUGGGUAACAUGAUCUUAUUUAGGUUUAAAGAGUUACUCUAGUUGUAUAAAGAAUAGUUUGUCACAUAUUUAGCUGGGUCUUCGCAUGAAAAAUUAUGUAUCCCAGUACUUUAGAGCGGAAAGGACCUUCAAGAUCAUUUAGUCCAACCCUUUCUUUUAAAAGAUAAGCAAACUAAGAAGCAGAAAAUUUAUGAUUUGCCCAAGGUCACAGAGCUAAUAACUAUGUGAGGCUUUUAAACUAGGAGUUGCAGGGUGAUAGAUUAUACUUUUAAGAAAUCUUUCUACUCUAUAUUUCCUUUGGCCAGAAAUGAUGUCUCCCUUUUCUGAACUUUCAUCUCACUUUAUUUUUCUCUCCUAUGGUGCUUACUCAUUUAUUACCUUGAUCAUAGUUCUUUGUGUUCUUGUCUUGUCUUAUCUCCUUUAUGAGACUAUAAAAGCAAUCCCUGGAGAGCAGGAAAUAUGGUCUUUACCUUACGUGUCUCUGUAGGACAUUGCCUGUAGUAGGUGUUCAGUCAAUGUUUGUUAAGUAAACAGAUCAAUGGACAGGUGAUACGUGAGUGAAUGAAUGAAUGAAUGAAUGAGUUCUCCAUAUGCUAUAAAUACUGAGUGUUUACUGACUGAAUAUGCACGUGUAGAUUAUACUCUCCCUGAUUUAUCAUUCUAGGCUACUUCCUAGCUAUGUUUUCAUUCAUUUUUCUCUUAUAUGUACAUAAUGGAAAGUGGUUAUUUUUAAUCAGAAGAAACGAGGUGGCCUAGAAAAAUAUCACAUUUCUAAGUCAGGUAAUUCUUUCUUCCAAGAUUAUCAGCAGGGAGAGCCUCUCCACACUCUCCCCUUCCUUCCCUCCCACCCU